CCUACGGGUGGCUACAGUGAGGAAUAUUGGUCAAUGGCCGGACGGCUGAACCAGCCAUGCCGCGUGAAGGUCAGUGCCCUAUGGGCGUUAAACUUCUUUUGUGCGGGAGCAAUAGUGGUCACGUGUGGCCCGACGAGAGUACCGUACGAAUAAGCAUCUGGUAACUCCGUGCCAGCAGCCGCGGUUAUACGGGGGAUGCAAGCGUUAUCCGGAUUUAUUGGGGUUAAAGCGCUCGUAGGCGGGAUGUCAAGUCAAGGGUGAAAUCCCCGCGCUCACCGUGGGAACUGCCUUUGAAACUGGCAAACUGGAGUGUGUGAGAGGAUAGUGGAAUGCCAGGUGUAGGAGUGAAAUGCGUAGAUAUCUGGAGGAACAUCAGUGGCGAAGGCGACUAUCUGGCACAUAACUGACGCUGAGGAGCGAAAGCGUGGGUAGCAAACAGGAUUAGAUACCCCGGUAGUC
Molecule: ribosomal RNA, 459 nt
Filed under: uncultured bacterium
Lineage: Bacteria
Description: partial 16S ribosomal RNA
Rfam family: Bacterial small subunit ribosomal RNA
Source: RNAcentral